This 487-nucleotide ribosomal RNA is filed under the name uncultured bacterium. RNAcentral's name for it is "partial 16S ribosomal RNA". It matches the Rfam family "Bacterial small subunit ribosomal RNA", at positions 28 to 507 of the family's 1533-position model. The record is from RNAcentral.
GAUGAACGCUAGCGAUAGGCUUAACACAUGCAAGUCGAGGGGCAGCACAAGGUAGCUUGCUCUCUGGGUGGCGACCGGCGCACGGGUGCGUAACGCGUAUGCAACUUGCCCUAUACAGGAGGAUAACCCGUCGAAAGACGGACUAAUACUGCGUAUGCUCACAACUUGGCAUCAAGUGGUGAGGAAAGAAAUUCGGUAUAGGAUAGGCAUGCGUCCCAUUAGCUUGUUGGUGAGGUAACGGCUCACCAAGGCAACGAUGGGUAGGGGAACUGAGAGGUUUAUCCCCCACACUGGUACUGAGACACGGACCAGACUCCUACGGGAGGCAGCAGUGAGGAAGAUUGGUCAAUGGGCGCGAGCCUGAACCAGCCAAGUCGCGUGAAGGAUGACUGUCUUAUGGAUUGUAAACUUCUUUUAUACGGGAAUAACAAGAGUCACGUGUGACUCCCUGCAUGUACCGUAUGAAUAAGCAUCGGCUAACUCCGUG